Molecule: ribosomal RNA, 492 nt
Filed under: uncultured bacterium
Lineage: Bacteria
Description: partial 16S ribosomal RNA
Rfam family: Bacterial small subunit ribosomal RNA
Source: RNAcentral
AGUGAACGCUGGCGGUAGGCCUAACACAUGCAAGUCGAACGGCAGCACAGUAAGAGCUUGCUCUUACGGGUGGCGAGUGGCGGACGGGUGAGGAAUACAUCGGAAUCUACUUUUUCGUGGGGGAUAACGUAGGGAAACUUACGCUAAUACCGCAUACGACCUACGGGUGAAAGCAGGGGAUCUUCGGACCUUGCGCGAUUGAAUGAGCCGAUGUCGGAUUAGCUAGUUGGCGGGGUAAAGGCCCACCAAGGCGACGAUCCGUAGCUGGUCUGAGAGGAUGAUCAGCCACACUGGAACUGAGACACGGUCCAGACUCCUACGGGAGGCAGCAGUGGAGAAUAUUGGACAAAGGGCGCAAGCCUGAUCCAGCCAUACCGCGUGGGUGAAGAAGGCCUUCGGGUUGUAAAGCCCUUUUGUUGGGAAAGAAAAGCAGCAGGUUAAUACCCCGCUGUUCUGACGGUACCCAAAGAAUAAGCACCGGCUAACUUCGUG